AGGGGUGUCGAUCAACGGUAGGUCGGCGGUCUCCAAAACCGCUAAUGAUGGUCCGAUUCCAUCCACCCCUG
Molecule: transfer RNA, 71 nt
Filed under: Patescibacteria group bacterium
Lineage: Bacteria
Description: tRNA-Trp
Rfam family: tRNA
About the family: Transfer RNA (tRNA) molecules are approximately 80 nucleotides in length. Their secondary structure includes four short double-helical elements and three loops (D, anti-codon, and T loops). Further hydrogen bonds mediate the characteristic L-shaped molecular structure. tRNAs have two regions of fundamental functional importance: the anti-codon, which is responsible for specific mRNA codon recognition, and the 3' end, to which the tRNAs corresponding amino acid is attached (by aminoacyl-tRNA synthetases). tRNAs cope with the degeneracy of the genetic code in two manners: having more than one tRNA (with a specific anti-codon) for a particular amino acid; and 'wobble' base-pairing, i.e. permitting non-standard base-pairing at the 3rd anti-codon position.
Source: RNAcentral